RNAcentral lists this ribosomal RNA (510 nucleotides) under uncultured Desulfobulbus sp. RNAcentral's name for it is "bacterial SSU rRNA". It matches the Rfam family "Bacterial small subunit ribosomal RNA", at positions 903 to 1382 of the family's 1533-position model. The record is from RNAcentral. Lineage: Bacteria; Pseudomonadati; Thermodesulfobacteriota; Desulfobulbia; Desulfobulbales; Desulfobulbaceae.
CGCCUUGCCAGCCCGCUCAGAAACUUAAAGGAAUUGACGGGGCCCGCACAAGCGGUGGAGUAUGUGGUUUAAUUCGAUGCAACGCGAAGAACCUUACCUGGUCUUGACAUCCCGGAGACCCUUAGGAAACUAGGGGGUGCUUCCAUCUGGAAGAAUCUGGAGACAGGUGCUGCAUGGCUGUCGUCAGCUCGUGUCGUGAGAUGUUGGGUUAAGUCCCGCAACGAGCGCAACCCUUGCCUUUAGUUGCCAGCAGUUCGGCUGGGCACUCUAAAGGGACUGCCGGUGUUAAACCGGAGGAAGGUGGGGAUGACGUCAAGUCCUCAUGGCCUUUAUGACCAGGGCUACACACGUACUACAAUGGCCGAUACAAAGGGCAGCGACACUGCGAGGUGAAGCCAAUCCCGUAAAAUCGGUCUCAGUCCGGAUUGGAGUCUGCAACUCGACUCCAUGAAGUUGGAGUCGCUAGUAAUCGUGGAUCAGCAUGCCACGGUGAAUACGUUCCCGGGCCUU